AACCCCAUCCUGACCCAAACAGAGCCACAACUCCCUUUCUGAAAAGCUGAGCAGUGCCACUAUGUUUGCUCUGCAAACCUGCAGGCAGCUUCCUUCCCCAGGGAGUAACCACCAAAAACCCCACACCUCGUGUGCACCAGCCAUGCAAAAACCUGUAAAGGGACCAGAACAGUCCAAUUCAGGACUCCUGUCUACCUCUGAAGCUUCACCAAGUCCAAAAGCAGCUCAGCUCCUGGAAGGACUCACCCUGCAAGAAAGUUCAGCAAAUAUCAAUAAUCACAACAGCUGAUACAGACUUCUGGGAUACA
Molecule: long non-coding RNA, 308 nt
Organism: Vidua chalybeata
Lineage: Eukaryota; Metazoa; Chordata; Aves; Passeriformes; Viduidae
Exons: 2
Source: RefSeq, a predicted model, not a curated record